AAUUUGUAAAAAUAACUCGUAUAAAAUCGGUAAUCGGUCCGAAAGUUUCUACCUGCUGACCUUAAUUAGCAGACUACGAGGUGUUGUUAAA
This 91-nucleotide non-coding RNA is filed under the name uncultured Clostridium sp. RNAcentral's name for it is "Purine riboswitch". It matches the Rfam family "Purine riboswitch aptamer". From Rfam's summary of the family: Riboswitches are metabolite binding domains within certain messenger RNAs that serve as precision sensors for their corresponding targets. Lineage: Bacteria; Bacillati; Bacillota; Clostridia; Eubacteriales; Clostridiaceae. The record is from RNAcentral.